This 277-nucleotide long non-coding RNA is filed under the name Lathyrus oleraceus (garden pea). RNAcentral describes it as "Pisum sativum (pea) long non-coding RNA (PSAT_LNC027016)". The record is from RNAcentral. Lineage: Eukaryota; Viridiplantae; Streptophyta; Magnoliopsida; Fabales; Fabaceae.
CCACACGCUCACAGUUUUAUUAUUGUGGCCGCAACUACAAGACACUGAAAACAGAAAGAGAAAAGAGAGUGGUGUGGGUUUUGUGGUUGGUUCAUCGUCGACUCUCAACUCGACAUGGCAACCCUUCCCUCCAUCCUCUCCCUCUCUUCCUCUCUCCCUCUCCACCGCUUCCGUCCCUCCCCUUCCCUCUCUUUCUCUCCUCUCCGUUUCUCCACAAAACCUCGUCCCCCCUUUCUCGUUCUCGCUUCUUCAUCACACGACGAAUUCACCUCCAAGG